UACGAAGGGGGCUAGCGUUGUUCGGAAUCACUGGGCGUAAAGCGUGCGUAGACGGUAGCGUAAGUCAGAUGUGAAAGCCCCGGGCUCAACCUGGGAAUUGCAUUUGAGACUGCUCUGCUUGGGUGCGGAAGAGGGAAGCGGAAUUUCCGGUGUAGCGGUGAAAUGCGUAGAUAUCGGAAGGAACACCAGUGGCGAAAGCGGCUUCCUGGUCCGACACCGACGUUCAGGCACGAAAGCGUGGGGAGCAAACAGG
Molecule: ribosomal RNA, 253 nt
Filed under: uncultured bacterium
Lineage: Bacteria
Description: partial 16S ribosomal RNA
Rfam family: Bacterial small subunit ribosomal RNA
Source: RNAcentral